This 114-nucleotide ribosomal RNA is filed under the name Marinibium conchae. RNAcentral's name for it is "Glaciecola sp. MH2013 partial 16S ribosomal RNA". It matches the Rfam family "Bacterial small subunit ribosomal RNA", at positions 1420 to 1533 of the family's 1533-position model. Lineage: Bacteria; Pseudomonadati; Pseudomonadota; Gammaproteobacteria; Alteromonadales; Alteromonadaceae. The record is from RNAcentral.
AAAGAAGUAGUUAGUCUAACCUUCGGGAGGACGAUUACCACUUUGUGUUUCAUGACUGGGGUGAAGUCGUAACAAGGUAACCCUAGGGGAACCUGGGGUUGGAUCACCUCCUUA